Non-coding RNA from Callithrix jacchus (white-tufted-ear marmoset), 6889 nucleotides. The record is from RefSeq and is a predicted model, not a curated record. Lineage: Eukaryota; Metazoa; Chordata; Mammalia; Primates; Cebidae.
CCACCUAUGGUAAGACCCCUUCAACACCCUCUGGCUCCAGGCUGUCCCUGGAAGUCUCACACCUGCCUUACCCCAGCGACAAGGGCAGCUGCGUGCUGGAUACCCUAGCUCACUCUGCCCAGAUCACCUCCUCCAUCUCACCUGUGGUGCGGUCUCCACCUGGUCCUAGUUCAGGCUUCCUCCAUCCCCCACUCUGAGGCUCCUCCUACUCCCAGCCUUUAACCCCCUGAGGUCUGACGAGGAGGAGGAGGAGAGAGGGGAAAAUGCCUGCUCACCUCCACAUUGUCACGGGAACAAACCAUCCCACAGGGACCGGCACUUGUAAGCCAUUGUUGUACGUGCUUGGCACAUUAGAAAUCCAGAGGGCAGAAUGCCUCCCUCUCUCCACUACAAAGAAAGAUAGUCAGACAGGUCAGAGCGAGUGAACAACACACCUCGGUGUCUUCUUUAACAAAUCCCUGGCAACUAAGCUUCCUCACAACAAACAAAUGGACAAGUGCCAUUCAGCAGCCACUCCCGGCUGGUGUUAGGUCAGUGCCGGCCAGAGGCUCAGGUUUUUACGGAAAGCAGGUUGCAGUGGCUUGGGCUCGAGAGCGUAAUUGAUGGAAACACUCAAGCACCUGAAGGCCAUUCAUUUGCCUCCAACCUCGAGCCUCUUAGCCAGGGAUACAGAGAGAGGAGGAGGUGAGCUCUGUCUGUUACCUCUUGAUUUCCCCGUCUAAGAGCCGAGUUUUCUUCAUCUGCUGCCUUGGGAACUCAGCUGGGCCCUUUUGCUGGAGCAGGACAUGCACGGUUUGGUUUCCCGGGCAGCAGGCUGAGUCUGCAGGAUGGUUAUUCAAGAACAAUGGAGGAGGAAGCUGGAGUGGCUGCGGGACAGCCUGGCCAGGGAAGCCCUCAGAGCUGUCCUGAGUGGGCUGGGGCGGCCAGCCCUGGUUUCUCUCCAGCACAGACCUUUGGCUGUGGACCCUCAGAGGAGGGUGUCUCUGUGGGCAGGGCUCUUUGCAGCUGAGGUGUCCUGGAGCCAGCUGCCAGCAGCAGUGCCAAGCCUGGAACGUGGAGGCGGCUGCUGACUUUGCUGAAUGAAUGUAGGAGGAAGGCAAAGGGAAGGAAGGGAGGCUCCGUCAGCUGCCCAGGAGCUGCUCUGGUGGCUCCCAGCAGGCUUCGGGGCAAGCACUCCUGGACCGAGAGGAGGCUGUGAUCCUGCAGUGGGGCCUGGAGAGAGGCUGGGGAGCUGCUGUCUUGGGAAAACCUGAGUUCGCUCCACGCCAGAGCGGAUCCCUGUGGGAUUGCAGGCAGAAGGGAACAGAAGUCUGUGGCCCACGGAGGCUGACUUGUAGGACUUCAUGACCUUUACAUCAUGCCCUCUAAUACAGUCCGAUGUGUCUUAGUAGAACAAUUAUGGUUUAGGUUGUGCAGCAAUCAAAUCGUUUAACUUAACACCUGCCAGGCGCAGUGGCUCACGUUCUAAACUCCCAGCACUUUGGGAGGCCAGGGCACGAGGAUAAUUUGAGCCCAGGAGUUGGAGACCAGCCUGGGCAACAUAAGGAUACCCCAUCUCUAUAAAACAUUUAAAAGCUAAUGGAGUGUGGUUGUACUCAAAACUCAGGAGGCUGAGUGGGAGGAUCGCUUGAGCCCAGUGCAUCAUGCACUGCAGCCCAGGUGGCAGAGAGAGCCCUUGUCUCAGAGCAACAAUGACAACAGCAACAACAUCUAAUCCUCCCGUCCCAAUGUACUUCUUAAGUAAAGUGAUUACUCCAGCAGGAUGUGCUGAUUAGGGAGCUCCUCACCCGCAGCUCCCGAGGGCCCCAGUUGGAGAAACCUGGACUUCAAGGCACCCCUGGGAGGUGGCAGGGGAGCAGGUGGGGAUGGGGAGCUGGGGGGAGCCUGCAUAGCCUCAGGUUUCUUCCACUGCCCCAAGGCCUGUGCCUCGUUGGAGGUGUGCUGGGUUUGCCUCUUGAAGCCAGGGCUCCAUUUUGCAGUGUGGUAUCAGGCACAGCCUGGGUGCUGAGUGAGCUUUUUGAGCAAAUGAUAAAAGCUUGAAUGGUGACUCUCAGGGGAGAGUUCAGGGGAGGCCAGGUGUCGGGGGAAUGACCAGACCCUUGCCCAGGAGGGAGUAGUCUCAAGCAGAGAAUGGAUGGGAGGGUGGGGAGUGUGCAGCCCCCAAGGCCUGGCACUCCAGCCAGCCUUGGGCCUCUGUUGAGCCAUCUGGGGUCUUUGAUACAAGCAUUCCUGCAAGAGCACCUUGCAUGCCCCAUCUUCCUAUCAGGACAGGCAGGAAUCGAGUAGGUGAGUGGGCUGACCCUUCUGGACCCCUGUUUUUCUUUUCUUUUCUUCCUUCCUAUUAUUAUUAUUAUUAUUUUUUGAGAUGGAGUCUCACUCUGUUGGCCAGGCUGGAGUGCAAUGGCGCUAUCUCCACUCACUGCAACCCCCGCCUCCUGGGUUCUAGCCAUUCUCCUGCCUCAGACUCCCAAGUAGCUGGGAUUACAGGCACGUGCCACCACACCUGGCUAAUUUUUUUGUAUUUUUAGUAGAGAUGGGGUUUCACCAUGUUGGCCAGAAUGGUCUCAAACUCCUGACCUCAUCAUCUACCCACCUGGGCCUCCCAAAGUGCUGGGAUGACAGCUGUGAUUCACUGCGCCUGGCCUGCCUUUUCUUUUCUUUUCUCUUCUCUCCCUCUUUCUUUCCUUCCUCGCUCUUUUUGGGAGACAGGGUCUUGUGCUGUUACCUGGGUUGUAGUGCAAUAGUGUAGUCUCGGCUCACUACAACCUCCACUUCCCAGGUUCAAAUGAUUCUCCUGCCUCCCAGGUAACUGGAAUUACAGGUGCCUGCCACCAUACCUGGCUAAUUUUUUGUAUUUUUUUGUAGAGAUGGGGUGUCACUAUGUUGGCCAAGCUGGUCUCCAACUCCUGACCUCGUGAUCAGCCCACCUGGGCCUCCCAAAGGGCUGGGAUUACAGGCAUGAGCCACUGUGCCUGGCCUCUUUCUCUUUCCUUCUUCCCUUCCCUCCUUUUUCUUCCUCUUCCUCUUUCUCUCUCUCUCUUUCUUUUUCUCUUUCUCUCCUUCCUUCCUUCCUUCCUUCCUUCCUUCCUUCCUUCCUUCCUUCCUUCCUUCCUUCCUCCCUCCCUCCCUCCCUCCCUCCCUUUCUUUUCUUUCUUCUCAGAGUCUUGCUCUUUUGCCCAGGCUGGAGUGCAGUGGCAUGAUCUCGGCUCACUGCAACCUCUGCCCCUCGAGUUCAAGUGAUUCUCCUGCCUCAGCCUCCCGAGUAGCUGGGAUUCCAGGCGCGUGGCACCACACUCAACUUUUUUUAAUUUUUUUUAUUUUUAGUAGAGUUGGGGUUUCACCAUGAUGUUGACCAGAAUGGUCUCAAAUUCCUGACCUCAGGUGAUCCUCCUGCCUCAGCCUUCCAAAGUGUUGGGAUUAUAGGCGUGAGCCGUCGUGCCUGGCCUUGACCCCUGUUUUCUGAUCACCCUCAUUGGGAGGAAAACUCCUCGCCUAAGAGACAACAGAGGAGAAAGUGCUUGGAAAAUAAAAGCAAUAUUCACCACAAAAGAUUUUUAACAUGUAAGUGCUGCAUGACUGCAUUGUCAAACAUUAAUAACUCAGCUAUUUUCAGAUUCCCAAUCAUGAUCAAUGCCCCUGGGACUAUGAAAACGCCAUCACAAGUGUUUACAUUAUUCUCCUGGGUGAGCGGAGCUUUGGAAAGGAAAAGAAGGAAACUGUAAACUGACAAACUUCUGAAAACACUUGGGACUCGCAGGGCUUUUCUUCAGCAGAACCGUGGCUGAGUGACACUUGGCAGGCGCGGAGCACUUCAGGCGUUUCCUUGUCUGACGCUCACAGCAGCCCCCAGGUAGGCAGACACGGUGUAUUUACGCCUUUGAAUUGAGUCCCUUCCAGGGAUCGGGAGUGAGGGAGGGUGUGAGUGUGUGCGGGUGCACACCUGUGCACAGGGGAGGCGGGACCUUUGGAUUCCGAUGCCAGUUACACGGACAUCCUUACACCCUCGGAUAUAACGCCUCCGAGCCUGAGGUGCUCACAAUAUCCCCAUUUUUCUCUAUCCUGAUGGCUUCUGAGAUGCCAGGCCAGCCUCCCUUCCUCACCGCUCAUUUUCUGAGGAGGGGCAGCUCAGGUGGUUGUUGGAGCAGAACACACUGCUUCGAUCCCUCUGUGGGGCACGCCUUGUGGCACAGGGGUCCCUACGCCCUGCACGCCAUCCCCUCUGUGAGGAUGAGCUGCCCUCAUGGCCACUGCGUGGUGGUCGCUGCCGAGGGAUGCGGCAUCACAGCACUUGGUCGCUUCAUCCAUACCCGCUUCGUGCCUACAGCACGCUUGAAACAGUUUCCCAUCACAGCCUCUCUCCCCCGGGGAUGCAUUCUUUCUUAUUGUUUCCGUUUUCUAGUUUGUGGCAGAUUGGAUUCUUGUUUCCAAUUCUUCCCUCUCUCCCUGCUGUAGAAUUUCACAUUUGCCUCUAUCGCCAGGUGCUUUGCAGGGUGUCCCCGCCCUCCCCCACCAAGAGUGGGUGCAGAAUUUUUCCCUGCUCUGUCAAUGCUGGGUGUGGCCACGUGCCCUGAAAUGAUGCCCGGAGCCCAACCUCUGCUGACCUGUCCCCACAAAUAAAAAUGCCUUUUCUUUUUUUGAGACAGAGUCUACCACUGUUGCCCAGGCUGCAGUGCAGUGGUGCAAUGUCUGCUCACUGAAACCUCCGCCUCCUGGGUUCAAGCGAUUCCCUGCCUUCGCCUCCUGAGUAGUUGGGAUUACAGAUGCCCACUACCACUUAUUUUUAGUAGAGAAGAGGUUUCACCAUGUUGGCCAGGAUGGUCUCGAACUCCUGACCUCAUGAUUUGCCUGCCUCAGCCUCCCAAAUGGCUGAAAUUACAGGUGUGAGCCACUGCGCCUGACCAAAACAAAUGUUGAUCUUUGUUGCUGUAGGUCAUUGAGAUUUCUGAGGAAAUCUCAUUAGUCACAUUAUUGUAGUGACCAGUUCCCAAGUCAUUCAUUCACUCAGCAAACACCAUGUGGCAUGUGGCUGCCUUGGGUUAGAAAAGCUGCUGGGAGCAGGACAUAGUCCCUGGCCUCAGGGGUCUUACAAUAUAAUAGCACUGUGGCUGUCAGGCUGUGAGGAGACAAGACGCCAGUCCCCUGUCCCACAGGGGUCUUCAGAGUUUGGGGUGGAGAGGGUGGAAACCGGAGCCCCAGCAGGCGGGGUGCCAGGCAGGGUGGUCCACCUCUCACCCAGAACAACAUGCCUCCUUUUUCAUCUGUGUCAUACUUCGGGGUCUUGAGUAAGGUGCUAUUUCUCAAAAGCAUCCUACUGCCAAAAUAGUUUGCAAAGCUUUGUGGGAGGAAGCUGCAGGUCACGGGUGGGGGUGGGGAACUGAGGUCACACAGACUCAAUAAGGAAGGCUGGGGACUCCUGCCCCCAAACCUCAGGCUUGACCCACUGGGGUCCAUGGGGAGCAGCAGUGUCUUUUCCCUCUUUAUUAUUUUUCCAAAUACCAGCCCAGGGAGACAUGUGAGGACCCAUCUAGCUCCAUGGAAUUCCUCUUCACAUCCCUGUGGGAACACAGGCCGGAAGCAGGGGCUGGCUCAGGGUUCCAUGGUGGCACCCGACUGCCCCGAGGGAAUGACAGUAAAACUUCCAAGACAGUCCGCUUUUUAGGAGUUAUAAGCAAACAGCAAAAACACAGCCUGUCGGUCGUGCCGAAUGCUGUUUUCUCAUCCAAAAACAUGGGAUGAAAAUGCGAAGCUCUGUACAGAGUGACUGAGUCAUACUCAUUGUUCUCCAGUAAACAUCUUGAGUUGUGUUUCACUGAGACUUACGGGUAAGUCUCAGUGGCCCAUGCCUCAGUGUCCAGCUCUGUGAAAUGACAGAAUCAGACACGGCAAAGGUAGACAGCCCCACUCACUCCAGAGUUAAGUGAAGCCCUUGAAGGAAAUGCACCAGGUUUUCUAGGAGUUUCUGACAUUACUUGUUUUUAUUAUCCUUACCAAAACUUUAUGUUCAGCCACUUGUUUUUCCUCUAUCUUUUCUGGAACGCUUCUCUUUAGUGUGUUUCAUGAGUGGAGCACACAAAAGUCUCUUUGACCUUCUCUCUCUCUCUCUCUCUCUGUAAGGCUCUUCUUGGUAUUAUUGAAUUUUAUUCACAGCAAGACCCAUCUGAGGCAAUCCUGGUGCAAUCUUCCUCACUUUGUCCCUCUCUUCCUUCCUUCCUUUCUCUUUCUCUCUCUUUCUUUCUUUCUCUUUUUUCCUUCUCUCUUUCUUCCUUUCUCUCUCUACUCCUUCCUCCCUUUCUCUUUUUCUUUCUUUCCCUCUCUCUCCCCCUCCCUCUCCUCUUUCUUUCUUCUUUCUUUCCUCUCUCUCUCUCUCUCUCUCUCUCUCUCUCUCUCUCUCGUUCAUUUCUUUUUGACACAGAGUCUCCCUCUGUCACCCAGGCUGGAGUGCAGGGCCAUCAUCUUGGCUCACUGCAACCUCUGCCUCCCAGGUGCAAGCGAUUCUCCCGCGUCAGCCUCCUGAGUAACUGGGAUCACAGGCCCACACCUGGCUAAUUUUUUGCCUUUUUAGUAGAGAUGGGGUUUCACCAUGUUGGCCAAGAUGGUCUCGAUCUCCUGACCUCAAGUGAUCCAUCUACCUUGGCCUCCCAAAGUGCUGGGAUUACAAGUGUGAGCCACCGCAUCUGGUCUUUAUUUAUGUAUUUAAAGUGACAGGACAAAAUUGUAUUUGCAUGUACAGCAUGAUGUUUUGAGGAAAAUACACCUUGUGGGAUGACUGGCUCUAGCUAACUGCCACAUGCUUUGCCUCAUAUAUGUACCAUUGUUGUCAAGUGAGAACACUUAACAUCCACUCUUAGCAUUGUUUUGAGAAUACAAUAUAUUACUGUUAUCAUGGUCA